GUGCCAGCCGCCGCGGUAAUACCAGCUCUCCGAGUGGUGGGGACGUUUAUUGGGCCUAAAGCAUCCGUAGCCAGCUGAGCAAGUCCCCAGUUAAAUCCAGCGAUUUAAUCGUUGGACUGCUGGGGAUACUGUCCGGCUAGGGGGUGGGAGAGGCCGACGGUAUUCCCGGGGUAGGGGUGAAAUCCUAUAAUCCCGGGAGGACCACCAGUGGCGAAGGCUGUUGGCUAAAACAUGCCCGACGGUGAGGGAUGAAAGCUGGGGGAGCGAACCGGAUUAGAUACCCGGGUAGUCCCAGCUGUAAACGAUGCAGGCUAGGUGUUAGGGCGGCCACGUGCCGCUCUAGUGCCGCAGGGAAGCUGUUAAGCCUGCCGCCUGGGGAGUACGGCCGCAAGGCUGAAACUCAAAUGAAUUGACGGGG
RNAcentral lists this ribosomal RNA (418 nucleotides) under uncultured prokaryote. RNAcentral describes it as "bacterial SSU rRNA". It matches the Rfam family "Archaeal small subunit ribosomal RNA", at positions 455 to 873 of the family's 1478-position model. The record is from RNAcentral.